UACGGAGGGUGCAAGCGUUGCUCGGAAUUAUUGGGCGUAAAGGGGAGGUAGGUUGUCUCACUCGUCUAAGGUGAAAUCCCUGGGCUUAACCCAGGACGUGCCUUGGAAACAGUGAGACUAGAGUUCUGGAGAGGAUCGUGGAAUUCCCGGUGUAGCGGUGAAAUGCGUAGAGAUCGGGAGGAACACCAGAGGCGAAGGCGGCGAUCUGGACAGAUACUGACACUAAACUCCGAAAGCGUGGGGAGCAAACAGG
RNAcentral lists this ribosomal RNA (253 nucleotides) under uncultured bacterium. RNAcentral's name for it is "partial 16S ribosomal RNA". It matches the Rfam family "Bacterial small subunit ribosomal RNA", at positions 524 to 776 of the family's 1533-position model. The record is from RNAcentral.